AUUGUGAGGCAGAGAGACUCACCUGAUUGGUCAGGGAAUACAUUGACGGACACAGGGUACAAAUAAAAGUCCCUCCACCACUGUUCUCCUCCGAUUGUCUCCUGCUCUAGCAACACAGAUCUCAUACUCAUAGAUUUUCCAGUUUGCCACCAUGAGUCCCAAGAACGUAAUCUUCAAGAAGAUGGCCAAGGACAAGUCGGUUGGAGUAUACAUGGCGAAGAGGGACUUUGUGGACCGUGUGGACUCUGUCGAGCCAGUGG
This is a long non-coding RNA of Oncorhynchus gorbuscha (pink salmon), 260 nucleotides long. RefSeq lists it as uncharacterized. Lineage: Eukaryota; Metazoa; Chordata; Actinopteri; Salmoniformes; Salmonidae. The transcript is spliced from 3 exons. The record is from RefSeq and is a predicted model, not a curated record.